UGCCUACGUCCGAAGUUGGAACUUCGGACGAAGAUAAUUAGGGGAAAAUCACCCGUCUUCUUUCCCAAAAGCAUAACAUCGCGACAUACCCAAAAAAAACCCCAAAAUCAAAUUUGCAGUCAUAAUCGCCCGUCUUCUUCCCAAACGCCACCGCCGCACGCCGUCACCACUCGCAUCCGUUCGCCGCCGGUCUCCUCGCCGCUCGCCGCACGCCGUCCAGCCACCGUCUCUUCUCUGCUCGCUGCGCUGCAAAGCUGCUGCCCAGCCACCGUCGCCGUCCAGAUCUGACGCCUCCAACCCCGUCGCCGUCGCCGUCCAACACCUCUAGCCGCGCCGUCCAGAUUGUACUCAGCGUUGGAUGGGAAAAUGACUGCUGCAUUUCAAAUAGAAAUAUUCAAACCUUCAUACCGAUGGAAACAAUGAAGAUCUACAUGAUUGCGAGAUGGAGCUUGUUCUUGUUGGCUACAUCACAGGAUCCUAUAGCAUGGUAAAACUCAAGUUUCUCGACAUUGUGCAUUGUGGAUUAUGAGCUAAUUGUAGUGUUUAGUGGGUAUAUAUGCAUUGUUUUCUGAAUUUCAGCUUUAAUGAAUUCAUUUUGACUAUAACCAGAGGGGUAAAUGUUCCAAACAAGAGCACUGUUUUGAAUGGUUUUCUUUGGUUCUUCUAGAAGACCAAACAUCAAUGAGAAACAUGCACCUGUCUAAAGUGUCCAGACUCUCCACAUAUUUUGCAAAUCAAUUCUUCCUCCUUUUUCUUCCAGUUUCUCUCGGUUGCUUUGGAUUUAGCUUCCCAAACCUUUGCUUCUCGGCUAGUAAAAUCAGUAGGAACAGCAUUUGGGUCAAGUGCCUCUUCUUCCUCAUCUGAAUCCUGCCUACCAUCCAUCUCACAGUUAUGCAAACAUAGACCAGCCGAUUGAAUGUUGAAGCACACUACUUUCUCAACCGAUUGAAGUACAAGAGUCACUAUUGACUCCACUGAGAGGCGAACCCACCACCUCCCGUAUAAAGGGAAGGUUUUGAUGCCACUGGACUACAAGUUCCUUGGCGGUCAACUGUGAAUCUAAUUUCUUGAUGACUUUGUGAUCUUUUCUACAAUGUACUAUUUCGCAAAUUAUAUUGUGGACCAUGGUCCACAAUGCAUUGUGGAGCAUGAUCAUGACUGAUACUGUAGUUGUGUUGAACAGAUAGUGCAGUUGUGUUGAAAAGAUACUGCAAUUGUGUUGAAAGGAAACUGCAGUUGCGCGGAACAGAGACUGUUCUUCCGUUCAACACAACUACAAUUCCAGACUGAUGACACGGCUUCUGUUUCGCGCAACUACAGUUUCCUUUCAACACAACUGCAGUAUCCGUUCAACACAACUAUAGUAUCAAUUCAACACAACUGCAGUAUCAACCAUGAUCCAUGGUCCACGGUAUAACGACUGGUACUAUUUUGUAUUUUAAAUAUUUUUGUUGCAAACUAUAAGUUUUUGGCAUA
Long non-coding RNA from Ipomoea triloba (trilobed morning glory), 1476 nucleotides. RefSeq lists it as uncharacterized. Lineage: Eukaryota; Viridiplantae; Streptophyta; Magnoliopsida; Solanales; Convolvulaceae. The record is from RefSeq and is a predicted model, not a curated record. The transcript is spliced from 4 exons.